This 274-nucleotide ribosomal RNA is filed under the name uncultured bacterium. RNAcentral's name for it is "partial 16S ribosomal RNA". It matches the Rfam family "Bacterial small subunit ribosomal RNA", at positions 523 to 796 of the family's 1533-position model. The record is from RNAcentral.
AUACGAAGGGGGCUAGCGUUGUUCGGAAUCACUGGGCGUAAAGCGCGCGUAGGUGGAUCAAUUAGUUGAGGGUGAAAUCCCGGGGCUCAACCUCGGAACUGCCUUCAAUACUGUUGAUCUUGAGACCGAGAGAGGUGAGUGGAAUUCCUAGUGUAGAGGUGAAAUUCGUAGAUAUUAGGAAGAACACCAGUGGCGAAGGCGGCUCACUGGCUCGGUACUGACGCUGAGGUGCGAAAGCGUGCGGAGCAAACAGGAUUAGAAACCCUAGUAGUCC